This 542-nucleotide ribosomal RNA is filed under the name uncultured bacterium. RNAcentral's name for it is "partial 16S ribosomal RNA". It matches the Rfam family "Bacterial small subunit ribosomal RNA", at positions 355 to 885 of the family's 1533-position model. The record is from RNAcentral.
UGGGGAAUAUUGCACAAUGGGCGCAAGCCUGAUGCAGCCAUGCCGCGUGUGUGAAGAAGGCCUUCGGGUGUAAAGCACUUUCAGCGAGGAGGAAGGUGGUGAGCUUAAUACGCUCAUCAAUUGACGUUACUCGCAGAAGAAGCACCGGCUAACUCCGUGCCAGCAGCCGCGGUAAUACGGAGGGUGCAAGCGUUAAUCGGAAUUACUGGGCGUAAAGCGCAGCAGGCGGUUUGUUAAGUCAGAUGUGAAAAUCCCCGGGCUCAACCUGGGAACUGCAUUUGAAACUGGCAAGCUAGAGUCUCGUAGAGGGGGGUAGAAUUCCAGGUGUAGCGGUGAAAUGCGUAGAGAUCUGGAGGAAUACCGGUGGCGAAGGCGGCCCCCUGGACGAAGACUGACGCUCAGGUGCGAAAGCGUGGGGCAGCAAACAGGAUUAGAUACCCUGGUAGUCCAGCGCUGUAAAACGAUGUCGACUUUGGAGGUUGUGCCCUUGAGGCGUGGCUUCCGGAGCUAACGCGUUAAAGUCGACCGCCUGGGGAGUACGG